CCUGUUUUCUUCAAUGCAAACAAAUCUCGUGGGGUUCAUUUUUCUUAGGAACGUGGAGGUUGUAUUGAGUAGAAACAGAAACAUGGUGGAAAUAUUCAGCAAACCUAAGAAUGCUACGGGGAGCAAAAACUGAAAUUGCUGGAGAAACUCGGCAGCAUCUGUGGAGAGAGAAACAGCGUUUCAGGUCCAGUGACCUUUCAAAUGGAGAAGCAGGUGGCAUUUAUUCUGCUGUUUGGGGGUGGGAGGAAAGGAGUGAGCAGAUAGGUGGAGAUAGAGACCAUAAGACUUAAGUGCAGAAUUAGGCCAUUUGAUCAUGGAAUCCCAACAGUGUGAAAACAGGGCCUUUGGCCCAACAAGUCCAUACCAACCCUCAAAGCAUCCCACCCACACCCAUCUUCCUAUAACCCACCUCAUCUACACAUCUCAACACUAUAGAAAACUCAGCAUAGCCAAUUCACCCUAACCUGCACAUCUUUGGACUGUGGGAGGCAACCAGAGCAAACCCACACAGACUCAGGGAGAAUGUGCAAACUGCACACUGACUGUCCUCCAAGGGAGGAAUUGAACCCGGGUCCCUGACACUUGUGAAGCAGCAGUGCUAACCACUGAGCCACCAUGUCAUGGCUGAUAUUUCUCAAACUCAUUCGCCUACCUAUCUAUCGCUGUCUUAAUCACUCAAUGACUUGGCCUCCGUAGCAAUUUGUCUUCAAAUGAAAUGGAUACCCAAAAAGCACAGUCUGCCAUUACCUAAGAGACAGACCACAACAGGAAGACAUAACGCAACCUGACCCAUUAAUCACCCUACUGUACAUCAAGGAUAUUUCAGAGAUGACCACAAGACUACUCAGGCUCCUAGGUAUCAGAGUAGUCCACAAACCGACAACCACACUAUGACAGCUACUGACAAAUGUAAAGGAUCCCAUACCCAAAACCAGGGUAAUAUACAAAAUACCAUGCAAGGACUGUGAGAAACACUGCAUAGGCCAAACCAGAAGAAAAUUGACUACAUGAACACCCAACUAGCCACAACCAAUCCUCACUUGCCUCACUACACACAGAAAACGAGGGACAUGAAUGCGACUGGGACAAUAUAUCCAUAAUCACACAAGCCAAACAGAAUCAUGCCAGGGAUUUCCUGGAGGCCUGGUAUUCCAACCGGAAUUCCAUCAACAAACCCAUUGAAGUAGACCCUGUGCACAAACCACUGAGAAACAGAACCGGAAAUAAUACCAACCACCCCAGCAAACUGAGGCAGAUAAAUAACAAGCGGGAUGGAACACCAAUGCUUCCAUGGAGUCGCACUGAUGACAUUGGAUAGCAGGGUGACAAAACAUUUGCAACCAAAUCCACCAGCUCAGUGAGCAUGCCUACAACCUGAUUCCUGAAAAAUCAUCUCCUUCAGUACUCUGGGAAAGAGAGAGAACAAAAAUGAUCGGCAGAUAAAGGAAUGGUUGACAGUAGGCCAGGAAAGAAGAAAAGAUAAAAAUUAAAAGAAUUGAGGAUGCUGUAACUCAGAGACAAAAACUGAAGCUACUGGAAAAACCCAGCAGGUCUGGCAGCAUCUGUGAGGAGAAAGGGUCACCAGACUCGAAACGUUAACUCUGAUUUAUUUUCAUAGAUGGAGAAGAAAAGAUAUAUAGAUCUCCAGCAUCUGUGGUUUUGGUUUUUUUUUGGCUUCCUUGGACUUCUGUUUAUUGCAAAUGCACUCUAAAGACUCUUAUACGUGGUAAUCUGAGAUAUCAAGUACUACUCUUGUUAUUACGUUAUUAAGACUAUUUUCUACUAUUUUCUCAAUCGCAUGGUUAGAAUUCAACCAACUAACUAACACCACGCACACUGGGCUAUUUAUGCCCAGUAGGGAGCAGCUCUCUGACAUCAUUACAAGGUUGCUCCGGGGUCCUAAAGUGAUGAUAAAACAGAGCCUGUUCCCAUUGGUGGACAGAUCAAAAACAGGACACAAAUUUAAGGUGGCAACAAAAAAAACACUCCAAAGACACCAUCCGAAACUCUCCUUGAGGUGAGGCAGGAUUGACAAGAAAGACUCAGAGGAGCUUGCUACAAAUCAGUCAUAAUGGUGACACCUUGUCCAUUGUGCUCCAUCAGGCUUUAAGUCCAAGCACCUUUAUUUCUUUAUUCAUUCAUGGGAUGAGGGUGUCACUGGCCAAGCAGCAUUUACUGCCCAUCCCUCUUUUCCCAGAGGGCAGGUAGGAGUCAACCACAUUGCUGUGGGUCUGGAGUCACAUGUAGGCCAGACCAGGUAAGGAUGGCAGUUUCCUUCCCGAAAGGAUAUUAGUUGAACCAGAUGGGUUUUUCCAACAUUCGACAAUGGAUUCACGGUCAUCGUUAGAUCCUUAAUUCCAGAUAUUUAUUGAAUUCAACUUCCACCACCUGCCGUGGCAGGAUUCAAACCCAGGUCCCCAGAACAUCUGCAUCUCUGGAUUAAUAGUUCAGCAAUAAUACCACUAGGCCAUCACCUCCCCUUCAUGAUGAGACAGAGCCUGAACUCCACAUCGCAGUAGGUUCUGCCUCACGUGGACAAAGAUCUGUAGUUUGGAAAUUGGCCUGUUUCAGUCACACAAAGACCCACAACACAAUCCAACCCUGAGUAGACAUUGUCCUCAAAUUAAAGCAGAGCCGAUGAAACUUUUCUCGACUUUGGUACGGUCCUACUCUCCAUGUUAGAAAGAAAGAUAUGCAGAUACAGCCCUGGAGAAGUUGCAAAAAGGAUUUGCAAGGGUUAUAGCAGAAACACAAGGUAAACUGAAUCUGUUUUGCAAAGGGAAGGCUGAACGGUGAUUGAUUAGAGGUCUUUCAGAUGAUGAAAGGCUACAGAGAGAAUGCUUUUGUUUUCGGGGAAAGAGCAAAAUGAGAAGCUAUCAAUACAAGACAGUCAACAAAGUGCCUGUGACAAAUGUAAACUGUCCCUUGUCACCUUUCUCCUCCAACACCUCUCUACUGUCAUCCAGCUGGCUGGGGGCAUUGCUCCCACCUGGUUCCACUCUUAUCCUUCUCAUUGUAGCUCCAGUUGCCUCCUGCCUCUGUAUCGUUAUCUUUGGUAUUGCCAUCAAGGAUCAAUGGGCAAGGGUGCACAAUCAAUGUGAAUGGAGACUUUGUCUGACUGAGACAAGGGCUGAGUGUGCGAAACUGGGAAUUUGGUUCAAACGGAGAAUUUGAGGUAAUUUAACUAAGGCUUACUGCGCGAAGUAAACUCUCCAGAGCAGGAGCUGAGCGGGAGAAGGUAAAAGGUGCAGUUUGAGAGGGAAACCAGCAGAGCGACAUCAAGAACGAUAGUCAUGCUGUGAGUGCAUGGCAAAGCAGUUGCCUGGUGAGUAGGAUUGAUUAAUAUUUCUACUCUUUUAAAGCGAGGUCUUCAUUUGUGUUUUGGUCUCUCGUCUUUUUCUUCUCUCUUUUCUUAAAGUGGAGCUCUAUAACAAAGACAAGGAUGAGACUUCUGGCUGCGGAGGAGCUGAGACAAGAGCAGAGACAGUCAGUGUUGUGGAGUUGGAAGGUGGACCCUUUGUGAUGCAGAGAAUAUGGGCCCAGAUGUCUAGCUCAAGGCCAUAUGGUGCACCCAGGCUGUGAACACUGGGCCAUCUGUAGAUAUUGCCCAGGGAGAAGACUGAAGCCGAUGGCAUGGGAACAUAUUUUGUUAGAAUUAGACUUUAUUGUCAUGUGUACUCAAGUUUAGAAACACAGGAAAAAGUGUACAAGUGGCCAUUCUCCAGCGCCAUCUUGGCUGUGGACUUGAUUACAAAACUGAAUUAAAAAAAGAGCAGAAAUGAAACAAACAAAGCCAAAAGGAAAGAAAAACAUCCAGAUAUUAAAGUCUUAUUGAAGUCUUAUUUCCAUGUAGGCACUCAGGUCAAGCCACGAACCGGAGUCUUGGGAGGAGUUGGGUGCUGGCUGCCAUUAACGCUACUGCCUCUGAUCUCCUGCUGCCACCGCCUCUGAUUCGAGAGCUACCGGUCCCAAGGGCCGGAACA
This is a long non-coding RNA of Stegostoma tigrinum, 3983 nucleotides long. RefSeq lists it as uncharacterized. Lineage: Eukaryota; Metazoa; Chordata; Chondrichthyes; Orectolobiformes; Stegostomatidae. The record is from RefSeq and is a predicted model, not a curated record. The transcript has 3 exons.